RNAcentral lists this ribosomal RNA (285 nucleotides) under uncultured bacterium. RNAcentral's name for it is "partial 16S ribosomal RNA". It matches the Rfam family "Bacterial small subunit ribosomal RNA", at positions 334 to 610 of the family's 1533-position model. The record is from RNAcentral.
GUCUGCCUACGGGAGGCAGCAGUAGGGAAUCUUCCACAAUGGACGAAAGUCUGAUGGAGCAACGCCGCGUGAGUGAAGAAGGGGUUCGACUCGUAAAGCUCUGUUGUUAGUGAAGAAAGAUAGAGGUAGUAACUGGCCUUUAUUUGACGGUAAUUACUUAGAAAGUCACGGCUACCUACGUGCCAGCAGCCGCGGUAAUACGUAGGUGGCAACCGUUGUCCGGCUUUAUUGGGCGUCACGCGCUUGCUUGCGGUUCCCUUUGUCUGAUGUGAAACCCUUCGUCUC